This 1299-nucleotide ribosomal RNA is filed under the name metagenome. RNAcentral's name for it is "bacterial LSU rRNA". It matches the Rfam family "Bacterial large subunit ribosomal RNA", at positions 1638 to 2925 of the family's 2925-position model. The record is from RNAcentral.
ACGACCGUACCGCAAACCGACACUGGUGCGCGAGAUGAGUAUUCUAAGGCGCUUGAGAGAACUCAGGAGAAGGAACUCGGCAAAUUGACACCGUAACUUCGGAAGAAGGUGUGCCUUUAGUAGGUGAAGUCCCUCGCGGAUGGAGCCCAAUGAGGUUGCAAAAAAUCGGUGGCUGCGACUGUUUAUUAAAAACACAGCACUCUGCAAACACGAAAGUGGACGUAUAGGGUGUGACGCCUGCCCGGUGCUGGAAGAUUAAAUGAUGGGGUGCAAGCUCUUGAUUGAAGUCCCAGUAAACGGCGGCCGUAACAAUAACGGUCCUAAGGUAGCGAAAUUCCUUGUCGGGUAAGUUCCGACCUGCACGAAUGGCGUAACGAUGGCCACACUGUCUCCUCCUGAGACUCAGCGAAGUUGAAAUGUUUGUGAUGAUGCAAUCUCCCCGCGGAAAGACGGAAAGACCCCAUGAACCUUUACUGUAGCUUUGUAUUGGACUUUGAACAGAUCUGUGUAGGAUAGGUGGGAGGCUUUGAAGCAGGGUCGCUAGAUCUUGUGGAGCCAACGUUGAAAUACCACCCUGGUGUGUUUGAGGUUCUAACCUAGGCCCGUAAUCCGGGUUGGGGACAGUGCAUGGUAGGCAGUUUGACUGGGGCGGUCUCCUCCCAAAGUGUAACGGAGGAGUUCGAAGGUACGCUAGUUACGGUCGGACAUCGUGACGAUAGUGCAAUGGCAUAAGCGUGCUUAACUGCGAGACUGACAAGUCGAGCAGAUGCGAAAGCAGGACAUAGUGAUCCGGUGGUUCUGUAUGGAAGGGCCAUCGCUCAACGGAUAAAAGGUACUCUGGGGAUAACAGGCUGAUACCGCCCAAGAGUUCAUAUCGACGGCGGUGUUUGGCACCUCGAUGUCGGCUCAUCUCAUCCUGGGGCUGUAGCCGGUCCCAAGGGUAUGGCUGUUCGCCAUUUAAAGAGGUACGUGAGCUGGGUUUAAAACGUCGUGAGACAGUUUGGUCCCUAUCUUCCGUGGGCGCUGCAGAUUUGAGGAAGCCUGCUCCUAGUACGAGAGGACCGGAGUGGACGCACCUCUGGUGUAUCGGUUGUCACGCCAGUGGCAUUGCCGAGUAGCUAUGUGCGGAAGAGAUAACCGCUGAAAGCAUCUAAGCGGGAAACUCGUUUCAAGAUGAGAUCUGCCGGGGCCUUGAGCCCCCUGAAGAGUCGUUCAAGACCAGGACGUUGAUAGGUCGGGUGUGGAAGCGCAGUAAUGCGUUAAGCUAACCGAUACUAAUUGCUCGUGCGGCUUGACCCU